RNAcentral lists this small RNA (938 nucleotides) under Pan troglodytes (chimpanzee). Its description in RNAcentral is "retained intron". The record is from RNAcentral. Lineage: Eukaryota; Metazoa; Chordata; Mammalia; Primates; Hominidae.
CAAGAACACUCCUUGGGCGUCCUUGCUGUUUUGUUUGUGAAGUUUUCUAUGCCCAGUGUUCCUGACUUCGAAACGCUAUUCUCACAGGUUCAGCUCUUCAUCAGUACUUGUAAUGGGGAGCACAUUCGAUAUGCAACAGACACUUGUAAGCUAAAUAACAUUUUAUUCUCCAUUGAAAAUAUUUUGCCCUUGUGGUUAUAUUUAUAUUUUGAAUAUUUUGUUAUUGUAUCUAGUUGCUGGGCUUUGCCAUCAGCUAACAAAUGCACUUGUGGAAAGAAAACAGUGACAACAUAAGAUCCAAUGUGCUGCCAUCUUUGAGAACUUAUCUGAAAGAGAUGUCAUUUCUGACAGCCCCUGCGAGGAAUUGGCAUCCUUAAGCAAGCCAUAGACAAGAUGCAGAUGAAUACAAACCAGCUGACCUCAAUACAUGCUGAUCUCUGCCAGCUUUGUUUGCUAGCAAAAUGCUUUAAGCCUGCCCUUCCAUAUCUUGACGUGGAUAUGAUGGAUAUCUGUAAAGAGAAUGGAGCCUAUGAUGCAAAGCACUUUUUAUGUUACUAUUAUUAUGGAGGGAUGAUCUAUACUGGGCUGAAGAACUUUGAAAGAGCUCUCUACUUUUAUGAACAGGCUAUAACUACUCCUGCCAUGGCGGUCAGUCAUAUCAUGUUGGAAUCAUAUAAAAAGUAUAUUUUAGUGUCUUUGAUAUUACUUGGCAAAGUACAACAGCUACCAAAAUAUACAUCUCAAAUUGUGGGUAGAUUCAUUAAGCCUCUUAGCAAUGCAUACCACGAGUUAGCACAAGUGUAUUCAACCAACAACCCCUCAGAACUCCGAAACCUGGUGAAUAAGCACAGUGAAACCUUCACUCGCGAUAACAACAUGGGGCUGGUGAAGCAAUGCUUGUCAUCUCUUUAUAAGAAGAAUAUUCAGAGGCUAACAAA